This 69-nucleotide transfer RNA is filed under the name Ictidomys tridecemlineatus (thirteen-lined ground squirrel). RNAcentral's name for it is "Spermophilus tridecemlineatus (thirteen-lined ground squirrel) tRNA". It matches the Rfam family "tRNA". Rfam says of the family: Transfer RNA (tRNA) molecules are approximately 80 nucleotides in length. Their secondary structure includes four short double-helical elements and three loops (D, anti-codon, and T loops). Further hydrogen bonds mediate the characteristic L-shaped molecular structure. tRNAs have two regions of fundamental functional importance: the anti-codon, which is responsible for specific mRNA codon recognition, and the 3' end, to which the tRNAs corresponding amino acid is attached (by aminoacyl-tRNA synthetases). tRNAs cope with the degeneracy of the genetic code in two manners: having more than one tRNA (with a specific anti-codon) for a particular amino acid; and 'wobble' base-pairing, i.e. permitting non-standard base-pairing at the 3rd anti-codon position. The record is from Rfam by way of RNAcentral. Lineage: Eukaryota; Metazoa; Chordata; Mammalia; Rodentia; Sciuridae.
GGGGCUGUAGCUCAGUGGUAGAGCACUUGCCUUGCAUGUGCAAGGCAUCAGUUAUGAACCUCAGCACCA